Pseudopipra pipra is the source of this 1297-nucleotide long non-coding RNA. RefSeq lists it as uncharacterized. The record is from RefSeq and is a predicted model, not a curated record. NCBI's taxonomy places the organism in Eukaryota, Metazoa, Chordata, Aves, Passeriformes, Pipridae. The transcript has 3 exons.
AUCCUGCUUACUUUUUAGUAAGCUGAUUUAGGGAAGACUGUGUUUCUGCUUGAUCAGUUGAAUUUGGGAUAAAUGGCAGACUGGUCUCUGGACUUCAAGACAAUAUUUUCAUUUAGCUUUAAAUAACUACUUACAGCCAGGCUCUGCACAGUUCACAUAACCUGUCCACUAAAUGGAUUUCCAUUCAUUAAGGAACCCCACUAAAAUCAGUGAGAACACCUAAUAUGAGAACAGUAUCAAAGAAGGACAAAAUCUAACCUUUACUGUAUAUUGAUAUUCAUGUCACAGUGCCUCUCUGGUUAAUCUUUCUCCAACAAAAGGGACAGAAAGGCAGAAUUAGCAAAAAGCAAGUUGAAGUUUUAACUCAAAGCAAAAUGAAAUUUUUUUUUAGGUAAAUGAUCUGCUGUUUUGUAAACCUGAAAUAACUAAAAAAUUGAUGUGCUUUGUGGCAUGUAAAAUAAAAGAGUAAUCCUCAAAUACAGAAGCAGAGAACAUAGCAAAAUUAUACCUAGAAGACCUUGUUUGUCAGCUGGGUUAAAAGGCAAAUAGACAUCAUCUCUUGUGCAUUAUUUUUUGUCCAGGUGCACAGAAGAAAGAAAAGGAAUCAAAAGGAAAAUGGCACUCCAGGCUGCCAGUCAUGCAAAUAUUUCUAUAGCCAAUCUCCUCCUCUUCAAUAAGCUGUUUUCCUGUCAGAUAUAUCUCCUGAACUGUUGCAGUGACACGAGCACAGACAAGCAAGACGACUGUGAUAGAGAAGGUCACAACCUGCAGUCAGUCAUCACAUCCUGGGAGCAAGAAGAACCCCUCAGGGACAGCCUUGCUGAUCCCAACAGCUGAAAGAGAAGGUGCCAAAACGGGACUGUGUGAGUUGAUAAAGAGACACACAACAGAGCAGCUGAUGAAAAGAACCAUGGCUGGAACAGUACUGGAUUUUAAUAUUUUUUUAAUAAAUCUUAAUUAAAAGACAAACAAUUAUGGGUUUGGAGAAGGAAUCUUCCCUCCAGUAAUGUGUCAGGGAAAAAACCAGAAGGUAGGUCAGAAAACACAGGGUUUUUUGUAGUGAAACUGGAGAGGUCAGUGAGAGACAGCAGUAUUGACUGUGGUUGGAAUGACAUGUAGAUGAGGUUCACAGCAGGAAAUGAUCUAAGCUGGUGAGCCAUUAUAUACAUUGGACCAAGAAUAUGUCAUGAGCUUUUCUAAAAAUAGUUAAGUGCAGGAGAUGAAUGCUCAGCUCCCAUAGGCAGAACAAAUAAUAUAGUUAGGAGAGACCUUUUGAGAUUAUCUAGUCCAUCCUCAA